AUUUUGUUCAAACCACAAAAUAUGAUUUUUCUUAUUUUUAAUUUUCAGUUUAAAAUCAACUUAAUCAAAUUGACUUCAAUUUUAUCCAAAUCUGUUACUCUAUUGUAGUGCCGUUUCUAUUUGAGAAAAUUAAAUUAAAGUUCUACAACAUCUCUCUUAAUUAUUUUGAACUCGCUAUCUUUUCUUUCUGUGAUUUUAAUAAUUAAAUUUAUGAUGAAUUCAACAAAGAGAGACUGUUGACAGGAGACAUUGAAAUUGGUAUAGGGAGUUGUUGGACAAUGAUGACAAAUCGACAAAGGGGCUUCAAAAUGUGCAGACUAUUCCCGGAGGCUAAGCACAGAUUUUGUGUAAGACAUUUAUUAAAUUUAUUCGGUGUACUAAAAGAUUUUCUCUAGUAGGCAGCCAAGUCCACAACUAUUGUAGACCACAAACAAUGGAGGCAGCAAAUCAGGCAAUUGAGUGAAGAUCUUUCCUUUGAUUGAUGGAACGACCCCCCUCAAGGAAUGGAUCAAGUGAUAUUUUCAGGUGUAUACCAAAUGCAACAUUUUGUUGAACAACGGAUCUGAGGUUUUCAACAAGACACUUCUAGAGGAUCGGGACAAAAUGAUUCCUAAUAUGUUUGACUUUUAUUCAGUUGACCUAUGUGCAAAGAAUACAGUGGAGGCGGGAUAAAAUGAGGAAUCAUGCUGGCUGACUUUAUCCGAAGAUAAGAAAAAGGGUGCAGUAGGUGGUUGAAUGUGUUGUGCACUUAUCUAGUGGUUCCAAAUGGCAAGUGGAGUGUAGUUAUAGAACAUUUGUGAUUGACCUAGAGGAUGGAAGAUGUGCAUGUAAAAAGUGGGAGUUGACUGGCAUUCUAUACCUUCGUGCGAUGGCCGUGAUCCGCAAGUGUCGAAAUGAAAUUGAAGGCUAUGUUGACAACUGUUAUACGAUAGAUUCGUACUUGAACUAUUACAGGAGUAUUUUGAACCCAAUCAACAAGCCAAGGUUGUGGCCAAAGGUGAAUGCGAAGCCAAUUAAUCUACCAAAACGGACAGUGAAUAAGAAAGGGUGAAGACAAACCAAGAGAAAGAAGUAAGCGGAGGAAGUAGUGAUGCAUAUGCAGGACAAGUCUUGUGUUGCGGAAAAAGACCAUGUGAACAUGAUGUGCUCAGUUUGUGGUGUUGUGGACACAACACAGGACAUCAUUCCUCAGCACCCGUUGUGUUGGAUGUGAGUAAACUACAUUUAUUUCUUCUGUAAUUUAAUUUCUUGAUUCGUGUUUUAGGACUUGUUCAAUGCCCCAUUGGAAGAACUGGGAUCUCAACAAAACCAAUGAGUGUAAGUUAGUAGCUCACAAGCACACCUGCAUGUCAAAAAUUUUGCUUCUUUUCUCAUAUUUGUAGUUCAAUGCUGUAGGGAAGUUGUCUGCCAACAGGGAAAAUCGUCCAUCAACUAGUCGGACACCAGCAACAUAUCAUGUACAUGACAUAACUGACUAGCCACAGGCGUGAAAUCUGGACGAAAUGGUAGGCAAUUUUCAGGAUGCAGAAGAUGUUGAAGCUUCACAGUUUAGGGCAGCUAGAGUGUAUUCCUGAUGAUAUGCGAAGAUGUCUACAGCUACGUCUCGCUGAAGCUGAAUGUGCAUGGAUGUAGAUUGGAGACGGUGAAGCAUAACAUUCCUUGAAGCUUGUUUAUUUUGAUAGUAGUGAAUAGGUUAUCUGUGCAACUGGAACUUUGGGUUGCUUUUGGGGUUGGAAAAUCGUAAGCAGGCUUAGAAUUUUUUGGGAUGAGAAAUGGGUUGGAAAGUGGGAUUUUUUUUUUAUUUUUUUAUUUUUAUCGAAAGAAUGUUUUGAGUGAUAUGGAACGAUAUCAUAUUGUUAUAAUGAUCUUAACAGUAAUACUAACGUAUGUUGCCAUCUUU
This 1900-nucleotide long non-coding RNA is filed under the name Olea europaea subsp. europaea. The record is from RNAcentral. Lineage: Eukaryota; Viridiplantae; Streptophyta; Magnoliopsida; Lamiales; Oleaceae.